AGUGAACGCUGGCGGUAGGCCUAACACAUGCAAGUCGAACGGCAGCACAGUAAGAGCUUGCUCUUACGGGUGGCGAGUGGCGGACGGGUGAGGAAUACAUCGGAAUCUACUUUUUCGUGGGGGAUAACGUAGGGAAACUUACGCUAAUACCGCAUACGACCUACGGGUGAAAGCAGGGGAUCUUCGGACCUUGCGCGAUUGAAUGAGCCGAUGUCGGAUUAGCUAGUUGGCGGGGUAAAGGCCCACCAAGGCGACGAUCCGUAGCUGGUCUGAGAGGAUGAUCAGCCACACUGGAACUGAGACACGGUCCAGACUCCUACGGGAGGCAGCAGUGGGGAAUAUUGGACAAUGGGGCCAAACCUGAUCCAGCCAUACCGCGUGGGUGAAGAAGGCGUUCGGGUUGUAAAGCCCUUUUGUUGGGAAAGAAAAGCAGCAGGUUAAUACCCCGCUGUUCUGACGGUACCCAAAGAAUAAGCACCGGCUAACUUCGUG
Molecule: ribosomal RNA, 492 nt
Filed under: uncultured bacterium
Lineage: Bacteria
Description: partial 16S ribosomal RNA
Rfam family: Bacterial small subunit ribosomal RNA
Source: RNAcentral